GAUGAAGAACGCAGCGAAAUGCGAUAAGUAGUGUGAAUUGCAGAAUUCAGUGAAUCAUCGAAUCUUUGAACGCACAUUGCGCCCCUUGGUAUUCCAUGGGGCAUGCCUGUUCGAGCGUCAUUUGUACCCUCAAGCUUUGCUUGGUGUUGGGUGUUUGUCCCGCGUUGCGCGUGGACUCGCCUUAAAGCGAUUGGCAGCCGGCAUAUUGGCCUUGGAGCGCAGCACAUUUUGCGCUUCUAGUCAUGAAUGUUGGCGUCCAUUAAGCCUAUACAUUUGCUCUUGACCUCGGAUCAGGUAGGGAUACCCGCUGAACUUAAGCAUAUCAAUAAGCGGAGA
This 336-nucleotide unclassified non-coding RNA is filed under the name soil metagenome. RNAcentral describes it as "partial contains 5.8S ribosomal RNA, internal transcribed spacer 2, and large subunit ribosomal RNA". The stretch from base 1 to 120 matches the Rfam family "5.8S ribosomal RNA", at positions 35 to 154 of the family's 154-position model. The record is from RNAcentral.